UGGGGAAUCUUGCGCAAUGCGCGAAAGCGUGACGCAGCAACGCCGCGUGGGGGAAGAAGGCCUUCGGGUUGUAAACCCCUUUCAGUUGGGACGAAGGUCCGCCGGUGAAUAGCCGGCUGGACUGACGGUACCUUCACAAGAAGCCCCGGCUAACUACGUGCCAGCAGCCGCGGUAAUACGUAGGGGGCAAGCGUUGUCCGGAAUCAUUGGGCGUAAAGCGCGUGUAGGCGGCUCGAUAAGUCUGCUGUGAAAGUCCAGGGCUCAACCCUGGGAUGCCGGUGGAUACUGUCGAGCUCGAGUCCGGAAGAGGCGAGUGGAAUUCCUGGUGUAGCGGUGAAAUGCGCAGAUAUCAGGAGGAACACCAAUGGCGAAGGCAGCUCGCUGGGACGUGACUGACGCUGAGACGCGAAAGCGUGGGGAGCAAACAGG
RNAcentral lists this ribosomal RNA (429 nucleotides) under uncultured bacterium. RNAcentral's name for it is "bacterial SSU rRNA". It matches the Rfam family "Bacterial small subunit ribosomal RNA", at positions 355 to 776 of the family's 1533-position model. The record is from RNAcentral.